AUCCAGCUGACGAGUCCCAAACAGGACGAAACACGCGUCCUGGAU
This is a non-coding RNA of Schistosoma margrebowiei, 45 nucleotides long. The record is from Rfam. Lineage: Eukaryota; Metazoa; Platyhelminthes; Trematoda; Strigeidida; Schistosomatidae.